UACGAAGGGGGCUAGCGUUGCUCGGAUUGACUGGGCGUAAAGGGCGCGUAGGCGGUUCGUACAGUCAGACGUGAAAUUCCUGGGCUCAACCUGGGGGCUGCGUUUGAUACGUGCGGACUUGAGUGCGGAAGAGGGUCGUGGAAUUCCCAGUGUAGAGGUGAAAUUCGUAGAUAUUGGGAAGAACACCGGUGGCGAAGGCGACUCUUUGGUCUGUAACUGACGCUGAGGCGCGAAAGCGUGGGGAGCAAACAGG
This 253-nucleotide ribosomal RNA is filed under the name uncultured bacterium. RNAcentral describes it as "partial 16S ribosomal RNA". It matches the Rfam family "Bacterial small subunit ribosomal RNA", at positions 524 to 776 of the family's 1533-position model. The record is from RNAcentral.